UACGUAGGUGGCAAGCGUUGUCCGGAUUUAUUGGGUUUAAAGGGUGCGUAGGCGGCUUUGUAAGUCAGUGGUGAAAUAUGGCAGCUUAACUGUCAAGGUGCCAUUGAUACUGCGGAGCUUGAGUACAGAUGAGGUAGGCGGAAUUGACGGUGUAGCGGUGAAAUGCUUAGAUAUCGUCAAGAACACCUAUAGCGAAGGCAGCUUACUAGGCUGUAACUGACGCUGAGGCACGAAAGUGUGGGGAUCAAACAGG
RNAcentral lists this ribosomal RNA (253 nucleotides) under uncultured bacterium. RNAcentral describes it as "partial 16S ribosomal RNA". It matches the Rfam family "Bacterial small subunit ribosomal RNA", at positions 524 to 776 of the family's 1533-position model. RNAcentral also lists the same sequence under 1 other name. The record is from RNAcentral.